Molecule: ribosomal RNA, 216 nt
Filed under: uncultured bacterium
Lineage: Bacteria
Description: partial 16S ribosomal RNA
Rfam family: Bacterial small subunit ribosomal RNA
Source: RNAcentral
ACGCCGACACCUACGGGAGCAGCAGUGAGGAAUAUUGGUCAAUGGGCGCAGGCCUGAACCAGCCAAGUAGCGUGAAGGAUGACUGCCCUAUGGGUUGUAAACUUCUUUUAUAUGGGAAUAAAGUUUUCCACGUGUGGAAUUUUGUAUGUACCAUAUGAAUAAGGAUCGGCUAACUCCGUGCCUGCAGCCGCGGUAAUCUGAGCGGGCUGGCAAGGC